Molecule: transfer RNA, 61 nt
Filed under: Escherichia coli
Lineage: Bacteria; Pseudomonadati; Pseudomonadota; Gammaproteobacteria; Enterobacterales; Enterobacteriaceae
Description: tRNA-Lys
Rfam family: tRNA
About the family: Transfer RNA (tRNA) molecules are approximately 80 nucleotides in length. Their secondary structure includes four short double-helical elements and three loops (D, anti-codon, and T loops).
Source: RNAcentral
GGUCGUUAGCUCAGUUGGUAGAGCAGUUGACUUUUAAUCAAUUGGUCGCAGGUUCGAAUCC